Molecule: ribosomal RNA, 305 nt
Filed under: uncultured bacterium
Lineage: Bacteria
Description: bacterial SSU rRNA
Rfam family: Bacterial small subunit ribosomal RNA
Source: RNAcentral
GUGGCCCUACGGGGCGCAGCAGUGAGGAAUAUUGGUCAAUGGGCUUACGCCUGAACCAGCCAAGUCGCGUGAGGGAAGACUGCCCUAUGGGUUGUAAACCUCUUUUGUCAGGGAGCAACGCCGGCUACGUGUAGCCGGACUGAGAGUACCUGAAGAAAAAGCAUCGGCUAACUACGUGCCAGCAGCCGCGGUAAUACGUAGGGGGCAAGCGUUAUCCGGAUUUACUGGGUGUAAAGGGAGCGUAGGCGGCGAUGCAAGUCAGAAGUGAAAGCCCGGGGCUCAACUCCGGGACUGCUUUUGAAACU